This is a non-coding RNA of Zonotrichia albicollis (white-throated sparrow), 1418 nucleotides long. The record is from RefSeq and is a predicted model, not a curated record. NCBI's taxonomy places the organism in Eukaryota, Metazoa, Chordata, Aves, Passeriformes, Passerellidae.
AGAAAAGGAAAUGCACUAGAAGUUGGAUUUGUUAAUAGCUUUCUCUGACCCGUUAUGAAAUAUUUCAAAUUUGGUAGUUUUUCAGAAGAGUUUACAUCAGCAUUUUGAAGGAGGAUAAUGAGAUCACUUGAAGUCUCCAGAGCUGCUCCCAGGAGAUGAAGGCUAGAAAAGAACAUAAACAGAACUGAAAAUCAAGCAAAUAGGUGUGGGAAGCAAUUUUCUCAGCACACCUGUUGAGGGGAGAAACAAGGCUCCUUCAACCAUCAAUCUGUGGGACCUCAGAGCCCAGCCUGAAAGCAAAGGCGAAACGAAAUACGAAAAUUGCAGUGCAGCAGAAGAGGAGUCAGCUAUCUGCGGGCCUCUGCUGAAAUCCCAUCUUUCGGGUGAGUUGAGAGAAAGGAAGACUCUGGAAAAGGAACCUGUAUAAUCACAGCUUGUUGCUGCUGGGACAGGGCACAAAAAGGGAGUGAAAAACUGCUCGCAAGGUUUCCCUUUAAAAAGUUCAGUUCGUUUUUUAACUCUUACUUUUUCCCGGAAGACUGGUUGCUGUAGGUAAGAAUACACAUGUGUCUUUAGGUGAAAAGCCUUGUGACUGAAAAUCAGGCACUGAUUAUCUCUAUAUAAUUGAUGCUUCAGUCAGUAAGUGAAUGCUUGAGGAAUAAAGAUGCCUUGAAGCCCUGUGGCUCUCAGGCAGCCCUUAACCUCAAUGGAUUAGGAAAAAAACUGAUAUUUUUAUAGUGUGCAUUUUCAAUUAGCAUCGUAAUUAGCAAGUAAAUAAUGCCUAGAUUAAAAUACUAAUUUAGAGAAAUUACAAAAUAUUUCAAUAACACCAAAGGAAUUUUCCACCAGGAAAAUGAUACUGUAAGGAGUAUUACUGGUUUUUGCUACAGAAACCUACAUCCCUACUCUGAACUUCCAUCUCUACUCUGCACCUCUUUGUCUUUUCUGUUUUUCUGUCUCAAAGGUCAGAGGUGUUUUCUAGAUGCAGCACAAGAGCUGGGCUGCCCCAAAGUCAGUGCAGCAGAUGAGCCACCCCCUUUGCAGCACCCUGGGAGCCUGGGAUGGGGCUGGUGCAUCCAGGGAUGGGCAGGUGACAGGGCUCAGCUGUCAGAGUUUUCCAAGGCAGGAAAACUCUGGCAUCAGGGCUGCACUUCCAUCUCCUCUCAUCAUGCACUGGUUGUGGCCAUACAGCCUGGCAGCAUCUCACCAGUUCCUGCUGGAAAAAACACCAUUUGCUGGCCCCAAAACACCAUUCAAAACUAAUGGAAAUGUGUGAGUGUCUCCCACAGGAACAAAUUCAGGGAGAAGCAUCAGCAGCCCCAGUGACAAUUUGAUGGUUGCAUGUUCAGGCAAUGAUUCUGUGGUUACCAAUGUUUAAUUUUAUAAACCUAAAAGUAGCACCAUUGAUUAUAUAAGAA